AUGAACGCUGGCGGCGUGCCUAAUACAUGCAAGUCGAGCGAACAGACGAGGAGCUUGCUCCUCUGACGUUAGCGGCGGACGGGUGAGUAACACGUGGAUAACCUACCUAUAAGACUGGGAUAACUUCGGGAAACCGGAGCUAAUACCGGAUAAUAUAUUGAACCGCGUGGUUCAAUAGUGAAAGACGGUUUUGCUGUCACUUAUAGAUGGAUCCGCGCCGCAUUAGCUAGUUGGUAAGGUAACGGCUUACCAAGGCAACGAUGCGUAGCCGACCUGAGAGGGUGAUCGGCCACACUGGAACUGAGACACGGUCCAGACUCCUACGGGAGGCAGCAGUAGGGAAUCUUCCGCAAUGGGCGAAAGCCUGACGGAGCAACGCCGCGUGAGUGAUGAAGGUCUUCGGAUCGUAAAACUCUGUUAUUAGGGAAGAACAAAUGUGUAAGUAACUAUGCACGUCUUGACGGUACCUAAUCAGAAAGCCACGGCUAACUACGUG
Molecule: ribosomal RNA, 496 nt
Filed under: uncultured bacterium
Lineage: Bacteria
Description: partial 16S ribosomal RNA
Rfam family: Bacterial small subunit ribosomal RNA
Source: RNAcentral